Regulatory RNA element from Paraglaciecola sp., 145 nucleotides. Lineage: Bacteria; Pseudomonadati; Pseudomonadota; Gammaproteobacteria; Alteromonadales; Alteromonadaceae. The record is from Rfam.
CUCGACUCCAACUUACCCAAUUUUAGGCACAACUUGUCAAAUGACCAGACAGGAUGUCUGGGUAAGGUGAGGUGAGCACACGGACGUGCUCUCCGUACCGGUUUGAUAACAAGUUGCGGCUUAAAUUGGAAUAGUAAGUUGGCCG